Molecule: ribosomal RNA, 253 nt
Filed under: uncultured bacterium
Lineage: Bacteria
Description: partial 16S ribosomal RNA
Rfam family: Bacterial small subunit ribosomal RNA
Source: RNAcentral
UACGUAGGGGCCUAGCGUUGUCCGGAAUUAUUGGGCGUAAAGAGCUCGUAGGCGGUUUGUCGCGUCGGAUGUGAAAACCCAGGGCUCAACCCUGGGCCUGCAUUCGAUACGGGCAGACUAGAGUAUGGCAGGGGAGACUGGAAUUCCUGGUGUAGCGGUGAAAUGCGCAGAUAUCAGGAGGAACACCGGUGGCGAAGGCGGGACUCUGGGCCGAUACUGACGCUGAGGAGCGAAAGCGUGGGGAGCAAACAGG